Molecule: long non-coding RNA, 585 nt
Filed under: Lupinus mutabilis
Lineage: Eukaryota; Viridiplantae; Streptophyta; Magnoliopsida; Fabales; Fabaceae
Description: partial ncRNA
Source: RNAcentral
CGAAGGGUGAUGCUAAAGAGGAUUGCGGAAUUAGCGAGACUCACUAUGGGAACUCUUUUAAUGACGAGUCCUCGUCUGAAAACGGGGUGCAUAUUUCGACUGUUGCUGCUGAGGAGGUUUUGGCAAGUGGAGCUAAGGAUAAAAGUAUUAGAGUUUUUUCACCGGAGCAUCGCAGUGGUAAUACAUCCAAAAGAGGCAGAUCCAGAUCAAGAAGUCGUGCUGAUAAACAGAUCAGGGAAGCUCCGUCGGCCCAGAAGCUUAAUCAGAAAAAUGCUAAAAAAUCGUUGGUUACGGCAUGGACCAAGAAUUUCUUAAAUCAGAAUAUGUUGCUUUCGAAGAGAAAAGGGGUUAAAGGCAGCGUCCCUAAUAAAAAAGCCCCUACAGGUAUGCUUGGCAAGAAAGCGGUCCAGAGUCAAAUACCUCAACAAAAUGAAGACUUCUCGAAGGAGACGGUGGAUUCCUCUAUUAGUAACUCUAUUACUGACUCGGGAAUUAUGAAUGUGAAUCUUCGUUCUUUAUCCAAGGACGAAAGGAAGGCUAAGAAAUUAAUGGUUACUGGUAAAAAGGUUGGGGUCACUUUCAAAG